CUUGGUUUAGGAUAAAAGGUCAUGUCAAAUUUUUUAAUCUUGCUCCUGUUAAUCAAGAAGGACAUAGGAUUGGAGGGGAAUAUGAUGAUCUCCAUUUGAAAUCCCUUGAGGAUUUGUCUUGCUUAAAGGAGCUACCCAUUCACUGUCAACAAGGUGUGCACUAUUCCUGAAGUGGCUGACAAGUAUAUUCCUAAGGAUUGGGUGAACAGAUUUUUGAAUCGGAUGUGAAAUUGUCUGAUCUUCUUUUUGGAAAUGAUCUUGCUGAGGUUUCUCAUAAUGCUUUUCUCACUCCUGAUCUGCCAACUGCUACUAAUGGGAAAGGUCUUGAAUGGGUUGCUGAAGGCUGUGUAAAGAGAUGCUUGGACUUGGAGUUUGAAGAGUGUGA
Molecule: long non-coding RNA, 385 nt
Organism: Salvia splendens (bonfire salvia)
Lineage: Eukaryota; Viridiplantae; Streptophyta; Magnoliopsida; Lamiales; Lamiaceae
Exons: 3
Source: RefSeq, a predicted model, not a curated record